UGACCAAGACCUGGCCAGUGCCUCCGGGGCU
RNAcentral lists this small RNA (31 nucleotides) under Bombyx mori (domestic silkworm). RNAcentral's name for it is "ovarian small RNA-31501". The record is from RNAcentral. Lineage: Eukaryota; Metazoa; Arthropoda; Insecta; Lepidoptera; Bombycidae.